AUUGAACGCUGGCGGCAUGCUUUACACAUGCAAGUCGAACGGCAGCGCGGGCUUUGUUCUUGUGGCGUGUGGCGUACGGGUGAGUAAUACAUUGGCACGUGCCCAGUAGUGGGGGAUAGCUCGGCGAACGCCGGAUUAAUACCGCAUACGCCCUGUGGGCGAUAGCGGUGGAUCUUCGGCCCUCGCGCUAUUGGAGCGGCCGAUGGCAGAUUCGCUCGUUGGUGGGGUAAAUGCCUACCAAGGCGACGAACUGUAGCUGGUCUGAGAGGACGACCAGCCACACGGGGACUGAGACACGGCCCAGACUCCGACGGGAGGCAGCAGUGGGGAAUUUUGGACAAUGGGCGAAAGCCUGAUCCAGCAAUGCCGCGUGUGUGAUGAAGGCCUUCGGGUUGUAAAGCACUUUUGGCGGGAACGAAAAGGACUGUGCCAAUACCACGGUUCGAUGACGGUACCCGCAGAAUAAGCACCGGCUAACUACGUG
Molecule: ribosomal RNA, 484 nt
Filed under: uncultured bacterium
Lineage: Bacteria
Description: partial 16S ribosomal RNA
Rfam family: Bacterial small subunit ribosomal RNA
Source: RNAcentral